RNAcentral lists this ribosomal RNA (911 nucleotides) under Aspergillus aculeatus. RNAcentral's name for it is "partial large subunit ribosomal RNA". It matches the Rfam family "Eukaryotic large subunit ribosomal RNA", at positions 38 to 965 of the family's 3401-position model. Lineage: Eukaryota; Fungi; Ascomycota; Eurotiomycetes; Eurotiales; Aspergillaceae. The record is from RNAcentral.
GCAUAUCCAUAGCGAGAAAAGAAAACCAACCGGGAUUGCCUCAGUAACGGCGAGUGAAGCGGCAAGAGCUCAAAUUUGAAAGCUGGCCCCUCCGGGGUCCGCGUUGUAAUUUGCAGAGGAUGCUUUGGGUGCGGCCCCCGUCUAAGUGCCCUGGAACGGGCCGUCAGAGAGGGUGAGAAUCCCGUCUUGGGCGGGGUGUCCGUGCCCGUGUAAAGCUCCUUCGACGAGUCGAGUUGUUUGGGAAUGCAGCUCUAAAUGGGUGGUAAAUUUCAUCUAAAGCUAAAUACUGGCCGGAGACCGAUAGCGCACAAGUAGAGUGAUCGAAAGAUGAAAAGCACUUUGAAAAGAGAGUUAAACAGCACGUGAAAUUGUUGAAAGGGAAGCGCUUGCGACCAGACUCGCCCUCGGGGUUCAGCCGGCACUCGUGCCGGUGUACUUCCCCGGGGGCGGGCCAGCGUCAGCUUGGGCGGCCGGUCAAAGGCCUCCGGAAUGUAGUGCCCCCCGGGGCACCUUAUAGCCGGAGGUGCAAUGCGGCCAGCCUGGGCUGAGGAACGCGCUUCGGCACGGACGCUGGCAUAAUGGUCGCAAACGACCCGUCUUGAAACACGGACCAAGGAGUCUAACAUCUACGCGAGUGUUCGGGUGUCAAACCCGUACGCGCAGUGAAAGCAAACGGAGGUGGGAGCCCCCCCGCGGGGCGCACCAUCGACCGAUCCUGAUGUCUUCGGAUGGAUUUGAGUAAGAGCGUAAAUGUGGGGACCCGAAAGAUGGUGAACUAUGCCUGAAUAGGGCGAAGCCAGAGGAAACUCUGGUGGAGGCUCGCAGCGGUUCUGACGUGCAAAUCGAUCGUCAAAUUUGGGUAUAGGGGCGAAAGACUAAUCGAAACCAUCUAGUAGCUGGAUUCUGCCGAG